CUACGGGCUGCUGCAGUGAGGAAUAUUGCACAAUGGGGGGAACCCUGAUGCAGCAACGCCGCGUGGAGGAUGACGCAUUUCGGUGUGUAAACUCCUUUUAUAUGUCAAGAAAAUGACGGUAGCAUAUGAAUAAGCACCGGCUAACUCCGUGCCAGCAGCCGCGGUAAUACGGAGGGUGCAAGCGUUACUCGGAAUCACUGGGCGUAAAGGACGCGUAGGCGGGUUGGAAAGUCAGGUGUGAAAUCCUACAGCUUAACUGAAGAACUGCACUUGAAACUUCUAAGCUAGAGUAUGGGAGGGGGAGAUGGAAUUAGUGGUGUAGGGGUAAGAUCCGUAGAUAUCACUAGGAAUACCUAAAGCGAAGGCGAUCUCCUGGAACAUUACUGACGCUAAGGCGUGAAAGCGUGGGGAGCAAACAGGAUUAGAUACCCGGGUAGUC
RNAcentral lists this ribosomal RNA (439 nucleotides) under uncultured bacterium. RNAcentral describes it as "partial 16S ribosomal RNA". It matches the Rfam family "Bacterial small subunit ribosomal RNA", at positions 339 to 795 of the family's 1533-position model. The record is from RNAcentral.